Molecule: transfer RNA, 65 nt
Filed under: Encyrtus eulecaniumiae
Lineage: Eukaryota; Metazoa; Arthropoda; Insecta; Hymenoptera; Encyrtidae
Description: tRNA-Thr
Rfam family: tRNA
About the family: Transfer RNA (tRNA) molecules are approximately 80 nucleotides in length. Their secondary structure includes four short double-helical elements and three loops (D, anti-codon, and T loops).
Source: RNAcentral
UGGAAAAUAAUUUAAUAGUAAAAUAUAAAUUUUGUAAAUUUAAAAUGUAAUUAUUACUUUUCCAA